This 67-nucleotide transfer RNA is filed under the name Narke japonica (Japanese sleeper ray). RNAcentral describes it as "tRNA-Tyr". It matches the Rfam family "tRNA". From Rfam's summary of the family: Transfer RNA (tRNA) molecules are approximately 80 nucleotides in length. Their secondary structure includes four short double-helical elements and three loops (D, anti-codon, and T loops). The record is from RNAcentral. Lineage: Eukaryota; Metazoa; Chordata; Chondrichthyes; Torpediniformes; Narkidae.
GGUAAGAUGGCUGAGUUUAAGCGGCGGAUUGUAGUUCCGUGUAAAGAGGUGAAACCCUCUUCUUAUC